GAUGAACGCUAGCGACAGGCCUAACACAUGCAAGUCGAGGGGCAGCACGGGAGUAGCAAUACAACUGGUGGCGACCGGCGCACGGGUGAGUAACACGUAUGCAACCUACCUGUAAGAGGGGAAUAACCCGGAGAAAUUCGGACUAAUACCGCAUAAUACUUCGAGACUGCAUGGUUUCGAAUUUAAACAUUUAUGGCUUACAGAUGGGCAUGCGUAUGAUUAGCUAGUUGGUGAGGUAACGGCUCACCAAGGCAACGACCAUUAGGGGUUCUGAGAGGAAGGUCCCCCACACUGGUACUGAGAUACGGACCAGACUCCUACGGGAGGCAGCAGUGAGGAAUAUUGGUCAAUGGACGA
This 357-nucleotide ribosomal RNA is filed under the name uncultured bacterium. RNAcentral describes it as "bacterial SSU rRNA". It matches the Rfam family "Bacterial small subunit ribosomal RNA", at positions 28 to 378 of the family's 1533-position model. The record is from RNAcentral.